AGUGAGUUGGCAGAAUAGUGCCAUCGACUUAGGAUCGAUUCAAGGGUAAAUCCCACACACUA
This 62-nucleotide transfer RNA is filed under the name Dendrobaena veneta. RNAcentral describes it as "tRNA-Leu". Lineage: Eukaryota; Metazoa; Annelida; Clitellata; Crassiclitellata; Lumbricidae. The record is from RNAcentral.